GAAGAGCAGAACAUUAAACAGGGUGUUGUGAGGAUUAAGGGAGCAAAUGGCUGCGAAAGCACCUUGUAAAGGGUAGAGCAGUGUGCAGCGUGAGGGAUUAUUAUCAUUGUUAAGACGUCUACGCCUCGUUGCUCACCCUGUGUGUUCCUGCAGCUUCUCAACUUUUCCCUCCUUUCUCCCUGGUUUCCACGCCUGGGCUGCUGAGUCAGGGGACCAGCCAAGGCUGGCGAGGGCUGAACAAACACUCUGACAUGUCGAAGCAGGAAAUGACAGUUCCCAGGCAGCCCUCUGUUUUAGGUGUGGAACAGGCUCCAAACACACUUUGUGUGAUAAACUCUAGUAACACCAAGCUGAGCUCUACCUCCACCCCCACAGGCUGCAAGACCAGGACAUGAGGCUGAAAGUCAGGGAAGUCCCUGUGAGACGAGGGCCCUGGGCAAGCACUGGCCAGAUUGUAGCAAGGUCACUCACCAGGCCACCCCGCUGGUUCCACUUCGGCACCCACCUCUGGCAGCCAUGAUGCUUCUGCAGCAUGCCAGUUUGUUCGCUGAGACCUUCACAGAGGGUCGCACAACCACCCUGGACAGUGAGAAACUAAGGUGACUGAGGCAAGUCAUUGAACCACCCUGAGCCUCGGCUUCCUCAUCUAUGAAAUGGAGUUGACAGCAUCUGUCCUGCCUGUGGUAAAAAUUGUUGUGAUCCCACAACCAAAAGGAAAGAAAGAAUUAUGAGAAAAUAUGUACUUAUUCUGUGAAAAUAUGUGAGAUAUUCAUGAGAGACUUCCUGUUCCAGUGGACUCUUCCACCGCCCUUGAGUGGGGAACAUCCAGGCCUUCACACUCAUACGCUCAGCCCAUCACCCUUUUGUGCAAGGUGCAAGAUCCUCUGCCCACCUGAAGCCUCAAGGCCUGAUGGAAACCAUCCCCAGCCACUCCAGUACCUUUGACCGGAGCGUGACCCUGCUGGAGGUGUGCGGGAGCUGGCCUGAGGGCUUCGGGCUGCGGCACAUGUCCUCCAUGGAGCACACGGAGGAGGGCCUCCGGGAGCGACUUGCCGACGCCAUGGCCGAGUCACCCAGCCGGGACGUCGUGGGAUCCGGAACAGGCACAGUGAUUCCUAUCAACAAGGAGGAAGUGCCAGUGUGACCUCUGUGACCCUUCAGAGUCCCCUCUCCAGGUGCUGCCCCAACAUGAAGCAGGAAUUCCUGUGGAAAGGCACAGGCUUGGACCGAGGGGCUGGGGGAGGGCUGUUGGACCCCCAGAGCACAGGCUCUCCUCUGGAAGCAUUAACAUAGACACAGCCCUUGACGUAGCAGUAAAAACCUUCCCCCCUGAGAGACACGUGGCUGUGAAGUGUUUUGAACUUCAGCGAGAGGGAAGCAUCGAGACUCUGAGUAACAGCUCAGGCUCCACCAGCGGCAGCAUACCAAGAAACUUUGAUGGCUACCGAUCUCCGCUGCCCACCAAUGAGAGCCAGCCCCUCAGCCUCUUCCCGACUGGCUUCCCGUAGGUACCAGCAACCUGCUUCUGACUGGCCAGCCCCCUCCCCUGCUGGAGGAGGGGAGAAGCCCCACUCUGGUCCUACCCUUCAGUCUCUGCUCUUCCUUCAUCAACCACCUUCCCCAAGCUUAGUGACAGCAGCCGCCCUUCCUACCUGGAUGGAGAAGAGACCCUUCAAGCACCUCGGCGCACCUGCCCUCUGCCACACCCGUCAGUGGAGGCUGUGGCCAGGAGAGACUGCAGAAGCUCGGUCCCUGUGUAUGUUUGCAUAUGACAUCCUGCAUUGGAUCCGCUUUUGUAUUUUUUAACCUUACCCAUGGUGGGGCGGGUGCGGGGGGGGCCUGGAACAGUGACCAGAUCUGGGGGCCUGAGUGGGGACAGAGUUGAUGGUCCACCUGGCCAUCUUGAUCCUGAGUGGACAGUCACAGCCUCAGCUCAUGUCUGGCUGUGACACACACUGCCCCCAGCUUCCCUUGGUCAGCCCCGCUCCAGCACGGGGUGAACGGAGGCCCAGAGUUCUAGGGAAGGAGGAAGGGAGGGGAUGCCUCCUCUCUUCCUCCUUUCUUUCCCCAUCUGUUCAUGGAAAGAGUUUGUCUUUCUUAUCUUUAAGCCCCUUUACCCUGGUCCUGUACUGAUCAGUGAAGGAAACCGUGGUUACUGAGGCCCUGUUGAAAAGUGCACGUCUUGUCCAAUAAAUCACGCUGCAAUUGGUGUCCA
This 2215-nucleotide small RNA is filed under the name Pongo abelii (Sumatran orangutan). RNAcentral describes it as "processed transcript". The record is from RNAcentral. Lineage: Eukaryota; Metazoa; Chordata; Mammalia; Primates; Hominidae.